This 449-nucleotide ribosomal RNA is filed under the name uncultured bacterium. Its description in RNAcentral is "partial 16S ribosomal RNA". It matches the Rfam family "Bacterial small subunit ribosomal RNA", at positions 29 to 523 of the family's 1533-position model. The record is from RNAcentral.
AACGAACGCUGGCGGCAUGCCUAAUACAUGCAAGUCGAACGAGCCCUUCGGGGUUAGUGGCGCACGGGUGCGUAACGCGUGGGAAUCUGCCCUUGGGUUCGGAAUAACGUCUGGAAACGGACGCUAAUACCGGAUGAUGACGUAAGUCCAAAGAUUUAUCGCCCAGGGAUGAGCCCGCGUAGGAUUAGCUAGUUGGUGAGGUAAAGGCUCACCAAGGCGACGAUCCUUAGCUGGUCUGAGAGGAUGAUCAGCCACACUGGGACUGAGACACGGCCCAGACUCCUACGGGAGGCAGCAGUAGGGAAUAUUGGACAAUGGGGGCAACCCUGAUCCAGCAAUGCCGCGUGAGUGAUGAAGGCCUUAGGGUUGUAAAGCUCUUUUACCCGGGAUGAUAAUGACAGUACCGGGAGAAUAAGCCCCGGCUAACUACGUGCCAGCCGCCGCGGUAA